RNAcentral lists this long non-coding RNA (2253 nucleotides) under Mus musculus (house mouse). Its description in RNAcentral is "long non-coding RNA chr15:80890427-80892680". Lineage: Eukaryota; Metazoa; Chordata; Mammalia; Rodentia; Muridae. The record is from RNAcentral.
AUAGUCCAUCUCUCUUCAUGUUUCUCAACAUGGAAUUUACUUUAAAUCUGUUUCUUUUAUCUUUUCAUUUUUGGUUAUAACUGACUUAGGAAAUUAUGAAUGAGACUAUAAUAUAAUCUAAUUAUACGUUUGCCAUUUUUAAUAUUAAAUUAUAUAUUUUCCUGGAGAGAUGACACAGAAAGCAACUAAGAGCACUGCUGUUCUUGUAUAAGAUCCAGGCACCCAUAUAGCAGCUCACAGCCUCCUAUAACUCCUGUUCCAGGGGAUCAGACAUGCUCUUCUAGCUUCUGCAGUCACCAGACAUACACAUGAAGCACAGACUGUUCAUAUAUGUAAACUAAAAGUAAAUUUCUUAAAGCCAUUAGAAUAUAUAAUAAGGAGUAUUUCAAGAAUCUCUUUAGUUUAUCUGCUAAUCAAAAAUUAGUAAAACUAGUAAUAAAGGGUUACAGUGUUUUAAAAAUCUGGCUUCUGCCGGGCGUGGUGGCACACGCCUUUAAUCCCAGCACUCAGAGGACGCAGAGGCAGGCGGAUUUCUGAGUUCGAGGCCAGCCUGGUCUACAAAGUGAGUUCCAGGACAGCCAGGGCUAUACAGAGAAACCCUGUCUCGAAAAAAAAAAAAAAAUCUGGCUUCUUGGGGCUGAGGAGUUGAGUGUCUUCUUUAGAAAUUAAACCAUAGUAUUUACAUAGAGAAGGAGAUCUUUAAUAGUGAAGCUUUAAAGAGUAACUAUUGCUCAAGCAUUGGUGGUUGCCAAAAUUAGUCCUCUAAGCAAGGGCCACACAGUAGCACCAGAACUGGCAGGCUCUUACAAGCCUGAGUGGACACAAGGUCUGUUGUAGUUUCGUGAAGAAACCCAGGAAUCUGGGGCCAUCAGUGCUGUUACAGCCACAGCUCCAACACUAAUGCUUCCCUAGCUAUGGUCCUGUGGCUCCUCACUUGCCACUGUGCCUUUUACCUCAGGAUGAGCCCAAGAGCACAAGAGCACAGUGUGUGGUUGAAUCCAUUCUGUUCCGUGUGGUGACUUUCACAUGAAUAUUAAAGGCUCAGGUAAAGCAGGACCACUUAGACCACACAUAGUCAAGUUGUAUACAGCUUCUCAUAUGCAGAUUAAAGUAGAUUGUGCUUUGUGCAUAUAUUCAGAUUAGUCAUCUCCAGAUUGGGGUCAUAAGGCAGUUUUUCUGUUUCCUUCCUUUAAUUUCAGCAUUUUGUUUGUUUGUUUGCUUGUAUGUAGUUUCCUAAACGGGAUGGGUAUGUAUUGCUUACGUGAACAGAGAAAAACAAUGUUUUGCAAAUGCUAAUUUUAUAUUGAGGUAUAUAAAAUAUAAAAUAAAAAUGUGGUUCCAGGCUUGCAUAAAUAACUAAUGCUAUUAGUAGGUAAACUCAAGUUUAACAGACCAGCUUCUAGCUUGGCAUUGGAUUUUUAAGAAAAGACAAUUCCUCAAUAUCUUUGUAAUGGUUGGAUUCCUGCAAAGUCCAUUGGUAUCAGAUUGGUGCAUAUGUCCUACCCAAUAGGUCCCACCUGUUUCAAACUGCUAUCAUACGGAGUCCAUUAAAUUUACUUCAUAAUUAAAAGAUAAAACUUAAGCCAGACAUGGUAGCAUAUCUUUAAUCCCAGUACUUGAGAGGCCAAGGCAGAAGGAUCAGGAGGCAGGAGUUUGAAGCCAGCUUAGCUAUAAUGUGAGAUUCUGUUUCUAAUAAUAAGAAAUAAUAAUAAUUUUUGCCAAAUCACAGAACAUUUCAAUCAGUUCACUUUUUUAUUUUAAAUUUAUAUUCUUUUCUAAAUUAAACCCUAGGGUUGGGACAUAAAUCCCCAAUAAUUAGGAGGACAUAGACACAGGUCAUCUUAGAACUUCCACAUAUACCUGAAAAGCUUGAACAAUAGUCAGAUAUUGGCAUGUGUACAGCCUUUGAGUCACUGUCUUCAUAAUUCCUAGAUCUAAUGUUUUUGAAGGCCACAUAUUGCUGCCUUCAGCAAACCUGAGCCAAGAAAAUGAACUGAAGUACCAUGUUAGGGUGACAGGAAAGCAUUUGUAUAGACUGCUGUCAGCGCUUAUAUUAACUUCAGAAACAUCAGAAUGCUAUGUGGUAGCUUCAGACACCCUUGAAUUUUGACAGGAAGCUGAAAAUCUUCUUAUCAAAGGAAAGGUUGAAGUUUAAAAUAACUCUAGCUAGGUGUGGUAGCUCACAGAGGUGGAUCUCUCUGUUCAAGGCCAGCCUGCUCUUCAAAGUGAGCUACAUAGAGAAACCCUGUCUCG